This 253-nucleotide ribosomal RNA is filed under the name uncultured bacterium. RNAcentral's name for it is "partial 16S ribosomal RNA". It matches the Rfam family "Bacterial small subunit ribosomal RNA", at positions 524 to 776 of the family's 1533-position model. The record is from RNAcentral.
UACGGAGGGGGCUAGCGUUGUUCGGAAUUACUGGGCGUAAAGCGUACGUAGGCGGCUUUUUAAGUCAGAGGUGAAAUCCCACGACUCAAUCGUGGAACUGCCUUUGAGACUGGAUCGCUUGAAGAUGGGAGAGGUAAGUGGAAUUCCGAGUGUAGAGGUGAAAUUCGUAGAUAUUCGGAAGAACACCAGUGGCGAAGGCGGCUUACUGGACCAUUCUUGACGCUGAGGUACGAAAGCGUGGGGAGCAAACAGG